This 585-nucleotide long non-coding RNA is filed under the name Helianthus annuus (common sunflower). RNAcentral describes it as "hypothetical non coding rna". The record is from RNAcentral. Lineage: Eukaryota; Viridiplantae; Streptophyta; Magnoliopsida; Asterales; Asteraceae.
CACACAUCAGUGUGUGCGUGGGGAACGACCAGAGCAGGAAGAAAAAGGGUAAAACCCUAAACUCCACAAAAUCUUCUAAUUGAAGGUGCAAUUGAAGACCAAACUCGGAUUUGAAUACAUAUAAACGAUCACCGAGCUAAGGGGAUCGUAAGCUGUACCUUAUAUGUUUGCGAAGUUGACUCUAAACAAGCUAGGUGGGAGCUUGGAAAGGAACGGGUCAAACGGAUCAUGGAUGCGAAGAAUGUUUGCGCGAACGCGAGGUAAGUAAAGCUUACACCCAUUUGUAGUAAACGUAUGUAUUUUAUAGAUGAUAAAUGUGACAACCGAUUACAUUCGAAAUUGAAGUUCCGACACUAAGCAAUAUGAGUCGGAACGAAUAAAAAUGAUCAAAACCAUGGUUAAUGGUAAAAUGGACAAAAGGGUAAUUUAGUCGUGGAUCGACUAAGAAUUUAUAAGAUUUCUUUAAGGUUACCUUAUAGCGAAACUAGUAAUGGGAAAAAGGGUAAAUUAGUCACAUGUUGACUAUAUGUAAGUUGGGAUUAAAAAGAAUACCCAUGGUGUAAGCCAUAACGAGUUAGAUACGUA